Molecule: RNA transcript, 21950 nt
Organism: Columba livia (rock pigeon)
Lineage: Eukaryota; Metazoa; Chordata; Aves; Columbiformes; Columbidae
Exons: 6
Source: RefSeq, a predicted model, not a curated record
CUACCCCCCAUAUUCCGCCCCCCAAAACCCCUCUGCCUCCGGACCCCCAGGGCGCUGCCGGCACCCCCCACACCGACUAUUGUCUCCCACCCGCACUCUGUCCUCCGCGCACUUCUUUGCACCCCAGUCUCGCGGCAGUUGUUUUCACUUGGAAUUUGCAGUCUAAAAAUGUUUUAAUUUCUAUCCCUUUUCGGGGUUUCUCUGUUAUUUAAUUUUUCGCUGCUGCCAGAGAAAAACAGACUAGGCGGGGCGCGCGGGAACGAAGGGCGGGGUGAGGAUGGGGCGGGGAGAAUGCGAAUCAGAGGCGUGGCCACACAAUAGCGCACCAGAGAGCAAGAACGGGCCGCUGGGGGGUUCCCCCGGGAGGGCCUUUGCGGUGCUGCUGGGGGGCAAGGGGUUCCUGAGACAGUCAUGUCCGCGCCGGAUGGCGUGAGCGGCGCCGAAAGCUUUGGCUGGCCCUGGACACGCGGCAGUACCCCGGGAGGGUGGGUUACAGCUCGGGGUCACCGCCUGGAGCAGGGGGAGCCGUGCCUUCUCCCUCCCCAGCGCCCGUUUCGUCAGUUUCUUCUGCCGUAGCCUUCUCUACUCUCCCUCCUUUCUUGUUCUGGCCUGGCGUUGCUGCAGGGCCUGCAGUUAUGAAGCCGAGGUAGGUCGGAGAGGUGGUGGCCGCAUGUAUCUGUGUCUGGACGGGCUCCUCCUGCGGGGAAGAACGUAGCGUCGGGCCGACACGCUGGCCUUGCUGUUGGGAGUGUGGGGAUUUGUCUCCUCCUGUAGCGGGAGAUGCCGUCCGGCCACCGCAGUCAGCACGUUUGAAGCGGCGGAAGGACUGUCAGCGGCUGGGAGACGGACGUGGGGCUACGUAUAGGACAAGAGAAGCGGGCUAAGGAAAAACCCUGGUGUGCUGCUGCGAGCGGCGGAAAGCUGGGGCCAGGGCGAGGAGACGGGCGUCACGACUCAGAGGCGCUGCCGUUGGCCAGCAGAGCAAGCCGGGAGCGUUAGCCUUCUGGCACCAGGCUGGUGGGCGGUGAUGAUCGUUUUCGGGACUUCCGGCGGUCCCCACGGCAGGGGCGCUUUCCUGCUGUCCGUCCGUCCCUGUUUUUUUUUUUGUGUGUGUUUCCCGCCCCCCCCGCUCCGGCCCGGAUUCCCGCGAAACGCGGCACUGCCGCUCGCCCGGGGCUGCCGCGGCGGGUCUCAGUGCUGCCGUCCUGUGGGUAAAGCGCGGUGCUGCACCCGGCCGCCCCAAUGCGGUGCCGCGGCAGGUCUCAGUGCUGCCGCCAUGUGGCGAAACUCGGGUACUGCAGCGCACGGCAAGCAAGGAAAAUCAAAGAUAAGGGUUUUUCUGGUGUAGGUAAACAUGCGCACAGCUUUUUAGUAUAAAGUGAAUUACCGAGGUUUGUUCUUUGCUUUUUAACUUCACUCUUUGAAGCUGCACGCUUUCAGCUUUACUGACUGAGCCGGGCACGCUGACAGCGAUUGCUGAACGAGUUGGGAUUUUUUACUGUGUCCAGCCUUGUAUGUGUGGUCUCUUUUCACUUGCAGGUUGGACUUAGGGUUGAAAUAGAAGUUCCCUUAUUUAAAAAUACCCCAACACGUCCCCUGACCCACAAAAAAAAUAACGGCCCAAAAACCCAGCCAGGGAUGUUGUUUAAUUUCCUUCAGCUUUUUUUCCCUUUCCCUGGUGUACACAGUGCAGUGAAUGCCCAGGGGAGAUGACCAGGAUCUGACUGUUGGAGGGUGUGUGGAGCUGAAGUCGAGGGUCAGUGCAGAGCACAUCGGGCACUGGAGCAGGUGAAUGUAACUGGUUUGUGUCUGGGCUUGUAAAUUCUUCUCAGAGGCUUCCCAGUUUCUGGUGUCGCCUUGGGGUGAAGUGUUAUUCUGUGUGCAGCUUUGGAAGCUGAAGCUCCACUGCAAUCUACAGAGCUCCCUCAUUUUCCACCAGAACUUCAAAUCACAGAGAUGAUGUUGCUGUGAAGCUGCUCAGGACAGCAUGUGUUUUGUGUACAAUAAAAUUAUUCCUUCUGUGUGUGUUCUUCCUGUGAACUAAAGCUGAGCUGCCCGUCUUCCAGUUCCACACGUGUGUGUUCCUGAGCUGCCUGUGUUCCAGUUCAUGCCCACUGUGAUGAGUCUCCUCCCCACACUCAUUGGUUCUGUCUCAUCACUGUUGCGGAUCCAGCACCGACAGUCUUGGGGGUUUGUCCUGGAUGUUCCAGGUCCAUGGGUUCUAUUAUUUUAAUUUCAACUAAAUACUUACUGUAAAGCAUGCAGAAAAAAAACCUUAAAUAACCGUAACUAGAGGAGUCUUUGGGAGUAAAUAAUGCCUAUAAUCUACUCCAGCUAUUACUUAAAACUCUGCAGACACUAAUGACACCUGAUUUUUACAGUAAAACUAAAAAUAGUGGAAUAUAAAUACUGGAGCACUAGUUGGAAGUAAUACCUGUAGAGAAAAAACUCUAGGUUACAUUAAAAAAAAAAUGAUGUGUGCUAGUAAAUCCACUUAGUAUUAAUGUAAUGACAAAAAUGUUAAAGUGUAAAUAAAUGAAAUUAUUCCCAAUAUAACAUUAAAAGAUUUAAUGUAAAAUAAAAUUAGAAAACAGUGAGCCAUGACUGUUUAAAUUUAAACACAGCUUUUUUUUGGGGGGGUUAGGGUUAGGGAUAGGGUUAGGGUUAGGAUUCGGGUUGUGUUAGAGUUAGCGUUAGGGUUAGGCUUGGGUUCGGGUGAGGUUUAGGGUUAUGGUUAAGCUUAGGUCACGGUUAGGGUCAGGGUUAGGAUUCGGGUUGUUUUAGGGUUAGAGUUAGCGUUAGGGUUAGGCUUAGGUUAGGGUUAGGUUGAGGUUUAGGGUUAUGGUUAAUCUAAUUUUGGGUUAGGGUCAGGGAUAUGGUCAGGGUCAGCGUUAGGUUAGGGUUAGGGUUAAGGUCAUUGUUAGGAUUCGGGUUGUUUUAGGGUUAGACUUAGCAUUAGGAUUAGGCCUAGGUUAGGAAUGGGUUGAGGUUUAGGGUUAUGCUUAAACUUAAGUUAGGGUUAGGGUCGGGGUAGGUUAGGGUUAGGGUUGGUUGAGGGUUAGAGUUAGGAUUAGUGUUACGAUCAGGUUAGUGUUAGGGUGAGGUUUACGGUUACUGUUAACCUUUGGUUAGGGUCACUGUUAUGGUUAGGGUUAGGGUUAAGGCUAGGGUUAGGGUUAGGAUUACGGUUAGGGUUAGGAUUAGGGUUGGUUUAGGGUUAGGGUUAGGCGUAGGUUACGGUUAUGGUGAGGUUUAGGGUUAUGGUUAAACUUAAGUUAGUUUUAGGGUCAGGGUUACGGUCAGGGUCAGGGUUAGGUUACGGUUAUGUUUAGGGUUAGGAUUAGUGUUGGUUUAGGUUUAGACUUAGUGUUAGGGUUAGGCUUAGGUUACGGUUAUGGUGAGGUUGAGGGUUAUGGUUAAACAUAUGUUAGGGUUAUGGUCAGGGUCAGGUAAGGGUUAGGGGUAGGGUUAGGGUUAGGAUUCGGGUUGUUUUAGGGGUAGACUUAGCAUUAGGAUUAGGCCUAUGUUAGGGUUAGGUUGAGGUUUAGGGCUAUGGCUAAACUUAAGUUAGGGUCAGGGUUAGGGUUAUGGUCAGGGUCAGCGUUAGGUUAGGGUUAGGAUUACGGUUAGGGUUAGGAUUGGGGUUGAUUUAGGGUUAGAAUGAGCCUUAGGGCAAGGUUAUGGUGAGGUUUAGGGCUAUGGUUAAACAUAUAUUAGGGUUAUGGUCUGCAUUAUGGUCAGGUUCAGGGUCAGGUUAGGGUUACGGUUAGGGUUAGGAUUUGGGUAGUUUUAGGGUUAGACUUAGCAUUAGAAUUAGGCCUAGGUUAGGGAUAGGUUGAGGUUUAGGGUGAUGGCUAAACUUAAGUUAGGGUCAGGGUUAGGUUGGGUUAGGGUUAGGGUUAAGGUUGGUUGAGGGUUAGAGUUAGGGUUAGUGUUAUGAUUAGGUUAGUGUUAGGGUGAGGUUUAGGGUAACUGUUAACCUUAGGUUAGGGUUAGGGCUAGGGUGAGGGUUAGGAUUACGGUAAGGGUUAUGAUUAGGGUUGGCUUAGGGUUAGACUUAGCCUUAGGGUUACGCUUAGGUUACGGUUAUGGUGAGGUUUAGGGUUAUGGUUAAAUAUAUGUGAGGGUUAUAGUCAAAGUUCGGUACAGGGUCAUGGUCCGGUUAGGGGUAGGGUUAGGGUUAGGAUUCGGGUUGUUUUAGGGUUAGACUUACCAUUAUGAUUAGGCCUAGGUUAGGGGUAGGUUGAGGUUUAGGGUUAUGGUUAAACUUAUUCAGUGUUAGGGUCAGGGUUAUGGUCAGGGUUGGGUUAGGGAUGGGGUUAGGGUUAUGGUUGGUUGAGGGUUAGAGUUAGGGUUAGUGUUAUGAUUAGGUUAGUGUUAGGGUGAGGUUUACGGUUACUGUUAACCUUAGGUUAGGGUUAGGGUCACUGUAUGGUGAAGGUCAGGGUUAGGUUAGGGUUAGGGUUACGUUUAGGGCUAGGGUUAGUGCUAGUUUAGAUUAGACUUAGCAUUAGGGUUAGGCUUAGGUUAUGCUUAUGGCGAGGUUUAGGGUUAUGGUUAAACAUAUGUUAGGGUUAUUUUCAGCAUUAUGGUGAGGGUCAGGGUGGGGUUAGGGGUAGGGUUAGGGUUAUGGUUGGUUGAGGGUUAGAGUUAGGGUUAGUGUUACGAUUAGGUUAGUGUUAGGAUGAAGUUUACGGCUAUUGUUAACCUUAGGUUAGGGUUAGGGUCACCAUUAUGGCCAGGGUCAGGGUUAGGUUGGGGUUAGGUUAGGGUUAUGGUUAGGGUUAGGGUUAGGGUUAGGAUUACAGUUAGGGUUAGGAUUAGGGUUGGUUUAGGGUUAGGCUUAGGUUACGGUUAUGGUGAGGUUUAGGGUUAUGGUUAAAAUUAAGUUAGGUUUAAGGUCAGGGUUAUGGUCAGGGUUAGGGUUAGGGUUACGUUUAGGGUUAGGAUUAGUGUUGGUUUACAUUUAGACUUAGCGGUAUUGUUAGGCUUAGGUUACGGUUAUGGUGAGGUUUAGGGCUAUGGUUAAGCAUAUUUUAGGGUUAUGGUCAACGUUAUGGUCAGGUUCAGAGGCAGGUUAGGGUUCGGGUGAGGGUUAUGGUUAGGGUUAGGAUUAGGGUUCGGGUUGUUUUAGGGUUAGACGUAGCAUUAUGAUUAGGCCUAGGUUAGGGUUAAGUUGAGGGUCAGGGUUAUGGUUAAACUUAAAUUAGGGUUAGGGUCAGGGUUAUGGUUAGGGUUAGGGUGAGGGUUAGGUUUAGGGUUAUGGUUGGUUGAGGGUUAGAGUUAGGGUUCGUGUUAUGAUUAGGUUAGUGUUAGGAUGAAGUUUACGGUUAUUGUUAACCUUAGCUUAGGGUUAGGAUCACCAUUAUGGCCAGGGUCAGGGUUAGGUUGGGGUUAGGUUAGGGUUAUGGUUAGGGCUAGGGUUAGGGUUAGGAUUACGGUUAGGGUUAGGAUUAGGGUUGGUUUAGGGUUAGGGUUAGGCUUAGGUUACAGUUAUUCUGAGGUUUAGGGCUAUGGUUAAACAUAUGUUAGGGUUAUGGUCAGCGUUAUGGUAAGGGUCAGGCUCAGGUUAGGGUUAGGGUCUGGGUUAGUGUUAUGGUUAGGGUUAGGAUUACAAUUAGGGUUAGGAUUACAGUUGAGGGUUAGGUUUAGACUUAGUGUCAGGGUUAGGCUUAGGUUACGGUUAUGGUGAGGUUUAGGGUUAUGAUUAAAGAUAUGUUAGGGUUGUGGCGAUUGUUAUGGUCAGGGUCAGGUUAGGGUUAGGGUUAGGAUUACGGUUACGGUUAGGGUUAGGAGUAGGUUUAGGAUUAAGUUUAGGGUUAGGAGUAGGGUUGGUUUAGGGUUAGACGUAGCAUUAGGGUUAGGCUUAGGUUAAGGUUAUGCUGAGGUUUAUGGUUAUGGGUAAACUUAAGUUUGGUUUACGGUCAGGGUUACGGUCAGGGUCAGGGCUAGUUUAGGGUUAGGGUUAGGAUUAGGGUUAGGGUUAGGAAUAGGGUUAAGGUUACAAUUAGGGUAAGGAUUAGGGUUGGUUUAGGGUUAGACGUAGCAUUAGGGUUAGGCUUAGGUUUCGGUAAUGGUGAGGUUUAUGGUUAUGGUUAAACUUAAGUUAGGUUUAGGGUCAGGGUUACGGUCAGGGUCAGGGCUAGGUUAGGGUUAGGGUUAGGAUUACGGUUAGGGUUAGGUUUAGGUUUGGUUUAGGGUUAGACGUAGUGUUAGGGUUAGGCUUAGGUUAUGGGUAUGCUGAGGUUUAGGGAUAUAGUUAAACUUAUGUUAGGUUUAGGGUCAGGGCUAAGGUCAGGGUCAGGGCUAGGUUAGGGUUAGUGUUAGGGUUAGGGUUAGGGUUAGGAUCACCUUUUGGGUUAGGAUUAGGGUUUGCUUAUGGUUAGAAGUAGCGUUAGGGUUAGGCUUAGGUUACGGGUAUGCUGAGGUUUAGGGAUAUGGUUAAACUUGUGUUAGGUUUAGGGUCAGGGUUUCAGUCAGGGUCAGGGCUCGGUUAGGGUUAGGGUUAGGAUUACGGUUAGGGUUAGGAUUAAGGUUGGUUUAGGUUUAGACUUAGUGUUAGGGUUAGGUUUAGGUUACGGUUAUGGUGAGCUUUAGUGUUAUGGUUAAAUGCAGGUUUAGGGUCAGGGUUACGGUCAGGGUCAGGGCUAGGUUAGGAUUAGCGUUAGGGUUAAGGUUAGGGUUAGGAUCACUUUUUGUGUUAGGAUUUGGGGAUGUUUAUGGUUAGAAGUAGCGUUAGGGUUAGGCUUAGGUUACGGUUAUGCUGAGGUUUAUGGUUAUGGGGACCGGGACCGGGAGCUGAACGGGAACGGGUGUCGGGGCGGCUGCGGAGCGCUCGCUGCGGCAGGCGCCCGGGCAUCUGGAGGCGGGCGGCUCAGGGCCGCCCUUCGUGAGGUUCCCCGGAGGCGGCAGAAGGGCCGAGGGGAAGGAGGCGACUGCCGGGGACCUCCCGCCCCGGGCGUCUCCGGGGCGCGGCGGCUGUCGGUGCCCGCGGAGCCCGGCGGGACGGCGGGGGAGCGCGAGGGGAACGGAGCGGCGAAAGAGGCGGCAGGUGAGUGCGGCAGCGGCGAGGGUGACCGUGCCGUUGGAACGGGGGGAGCGGGAGGGGCCGGCGCGGCGCGGAGGCGUUCGGUUCCGUUUCCACCCCCCGCCCUUACGGCCGAGCUGGCGAGGCUGGUGGGAGGCGUGCGACCCUGAGGGCAGGGGCGCUGAAGUCUUGCGGUCCGGAGCCGCGUCUCCCUCCGGCGCAGCGCCCGUGCCCGGUGCGGCAGCCCCUCCGGGAGCGGCGCAGCCCCCGUCGGUCACGGGGACGUUUAAAAGCAGAGCUAAGGCGCGGUUGCGGGCGGGCUGGGUGGCGUGGCGAGCGGGGCGCCGCUUCGGCGGGAGCUCGGGGCGAGGCCCGGCGGGUUCCGUGUCCUGGAGACGCUGCUUUCGCGCCGCGGCUCUCUGUGCCCCUUUUUGUUUUGUCGCGUUUGGUUUUUUGGGUUUUUUUGGUGGGAUUCCCGCGAAACGCGGCACGACCGCUCGCCCGGGGCUGCCGCGGCGGGUCUCAGUGCCGCCGUCCUGUGGGCAAAGCGCGGUACUGCACCCGGCCGCCCCAACGCGGUGCCGCGGCGCGCCUCGGUGCUGCCGCCCCGUGGAGAAACUCGGGUACUGCAGCGCACGGCCGGGGGCAGAGACGCUGAUUGAGCCGCAGGGGUUCGCCGUCAGGUCUCUGCGUGUCAGUGUCCGUCCCCCCGAACGGGGGUCAGGUCCCCAUUUGUGUAAAAACACCAUCCCUCCCUCGAUGCCUCCUUAGAACGUUUAAUGAUGUAAAUAUUGCUCCUACUAACGUUGUCGGCGCGGCUUCUUUCCUCAGUGGAUCUGUCUCGCAGUCAGUGGCCCACGAUUGCUCGGCAACAGCAGAAGCGGAUUGAAGGGACCGGCCGCUGGAGGAUGCCGAAGACUCCCGGGUCACCGAUGGGAACAGCUUUGCGUAAAGCGAGGGGUACGUGAAGCCGGGCGUGCGGUGCCGACCGCCCAGCAGGUAAGGGAAGCUAAAGCUUUACCUCCAGGGACUUCUGCCCAGAAAGCUGAAGAAAUUGCUCUCACGUGAGCUGUAGAGUUACGCAAAGAGAAGAAGAUUAGUAGCUGCACUGAUUCUAAGCAGGUUUCUUGAACGGUGAACGCCUUGAAGCCAUUUGAAAAGAAUAAAGUAUAUUAACGGCACAAGGAAGGCAGAUUAAACGUGAUGCUCCAGUUGCUGGAAGCUAUGCUGUUGCUAGAAAAGUUGCCGUCAUGCGUUGCAAAGGGCCUCAGAAGGGAAACGCUGAUCAGAAACUGGAAAUAAAUUGGCAGACGCCGCUGUAAAACCAGCCACCGAAAGGACAGAGACCGAUACAUAAGCCACGUCUCUGACCCCAGGUGGCUGUGUCCUCCAACCAACGUCAGGAAACUGUAACAAAGAGGAUAAGAAAUUAAUAGGAGAUUUAUAGCCGAAUCAGAAUUAGGGUCCAAAUGAGCCGUGACCGGCGACGGGAGAGUAGUGGCGCCUCGCGGCGCGAGGAGCUGAUGCGCUCUAUCAAGAGCAGACGAAAAGGUAAGACCGAAUUUAGAAACUCUGUGCGAACGAGGCAAUGGGAAACGUGCCUAGAAAACCAUCUUAGCAGUGUAUACAGGGUACAGACAAGAGCAGCUGGACGAGGGAAAUGUACCAGGGCAACCCUGGCAAAGAGAGUUCCCCAAUCUGCCUAGAAUAGGGGGGUGUCGAUACUGGCCGGCACGAACGGCUCCCUUCUCAGGUCGGCCAGAAGCAUUGCCGUGCCGGGGGGCGGCUGCCGGCCUGUGGGCCGGGGCUGCAGCUGUUUGGGGCGCUGCCCCCGCUUUGUUUUCUUAGUGGAGCCCCCCAAUUUUCGGGGGCUUGUGGUACGUGCACGUGUAAAUGACACGAUGUUCCCAGCUGCUUUGUUCUCUGCCUUGUUUUUUCAGGUGUCUGUCCCUGUUUUCUCUUCCCGCUUUUGAAGAGAAGCUGCCAAGUUAGCGUAUGCUGCGAUGAAGUUAUACAAGAUGUAGCCCUCAUGAACCGGUUGACGUGAGGGAAAUGCUUUCUGACCGCCUGCACGGUGAGGGGAAGCGCGCGCUGCCCAGGGGCCGCGUCAGGCGGAGCCAAAGGGACCUGCAGCGGCAACGAGCGGGAGCCGCUCGUAGCUGGAGCGGCCGUUGGCCGCGCCUUCCCUGGGGAGGUGAUUGCGGGGAGCCCGGCCUCUCUCUCCCUCGGGGAUUAAACCCGCGCCUGUCCGCGCCCUUCCCAGGGGCAGUGGCGAGGCGGGGUCUCCCGGCUCUCCCGGGGCGGCCUCGCUGCCAGGGGGCGCGGGCGAGGUGGCAGCGCCUCCUCGGUGCCGGGGGGCGGAGGGGAGCGAGACCUGCCGGCCGGAGCUGCGGGGUGCGCGGCCCCUCGGGCAGGGCGCUCCCGGUCUCUUGGCCGCAGGCUGGGGGCGGCAGACGGGUUCAGGUGCUUUGGCCUGCUUUUUUGCCAGCGUCGCCUUCUCCGCGCCGUGAAGAAAAUCCCGCGCGGUCGAUUCCGCUCGCCGCUCAGGAGAUUCCACGUCUGGGGCCGUGGACUGGGGAAGAACGUUUGCGAGUUGGAGGGCGCUACAAGAUAUUCCACGGGGAAGCCGGAGAAGAGGCAAAUUGGCUGCCAGUGGAGUUGCAUUCCGUGUAGUCUUCAGUUUAGGACGUUCAGCUUGUCCUUCCCUAAAAGGAGCACUCAUUGGUAGGACCGAGAGAGGCUUUUAAGCGCGUGAUCAGAAUUGAAGCCAAAUUGCACUUGACGUUGCUGCUGUGGGUCUUGGCUUUCACUGGUUUCCCCGCGGCUGCCUGGUGUUUGGGAGCUCGGAGUGGGCAUUUUUUUUCCCCCAAGGAGAGGCUGUGCUUAAAAAAGAAUUUGCUUAAAAAAGGCAGACAAGGCGGGUGAGGAUGCAGAGCGGGCCAAUCAGAUCGCUCGGGGGGUUGGAGGGGCGGAGCGCCGAUAGGCGGGGAGAAUGGCAAUUGAUGUGCCUAGGCAGCCAAUGAGGUUGCCGGAGGGGCGGGCGUUGCGGUCUCCGUACUGCGCAUGCCCAAAUUGCGCAGUCCUCAGUCAGGUCCGACGCUGAGGCGGGCACCUGGGGGCGGAGCGCGGGAAGGAGCAUCCAAUAGGAGGACGGCGCGGCGGGGUGGAAAGCAGCCAAUCAGAGCGCGCCGUCUCAAUCCCGUUUGAACAGCUGCCUCCCUGGCAAACGCGUCCGUGGGGUCCCGGGGCGGGUACCGGGAGUUAACGGGGAAACGGGGGUCGGGGCGAGGGAGGGGAGGCUGUGGAGCGCUCAUUUUGGCCUCUCCGUCCCUUUUGCCUCUCUCUCCCUCUCUCUGUGUCUCCUUGUCUUGCUCCCUGUCCCUGUCUUUCUCUGGUAAGCUGACCUGCUCUUUGCCCUUCUUUUUUUGUGGAAUCACAGGCUCCUUCUGCUUGGAAAAGACACGUGCAGUUUUAAAUUUGGGUUUGAAUUCUAGGUUUUUUUUCCCCCAGUAGUGUAAAUGGACGGCACGUUGUCCUGUGGCUCAAUCCCCAUUCUGUUCCGGGGAGCCUUCAGUUUAGGAUGUUCAGGUGAGAAAGUUUGACCUUCCAGAACAGGAUCAGUCACCGGUAGGACCGAGAGAGGCUUUUAAGCGCGUGAUCGGAAUUGAAGCCAAAUGGCACUUGACGUUGCCGCUGUGGGUCUUGGCUUUCACUGGUUUCCCCGCGGCUCCCUGGUGUUGGGGAGCUCGGAGCGGGCACGUUUUUUCCCCGAGGGGAGGCUGUGCUUAAAAAAGAACGUGUUUCCUCAGAGAAGUGCAAGUCCGUGUGCGUAAGACAGACAAAGACCCCAGCCAGCCUAGUCAAGUUCUGGGCGUGCGUCUGUCAGGCGGCUGCUUUACGUUGACGAGCGCACAGCCGUGCAAUGGUAAGGGCGAAGGGCAAGGCAAGACAGAAGGGUUUUUCCUGCUGCGGGUGACCAGCCGCCCCCCUUUUCCGCGUGAAGCAGAGGAGCGCGGUUCGUUGUCGCCUUUUAAACGCGGCGUCGGCGGCAAGCCGCGCGGCCGAAGGACGCUGGGGGGGGGUCCCGGCAGGGCGGCGAGCCGGCGGGUGAGAAUGCAGAGCGGGCCAAUCAGAAGGCGCGGGAGGGCUGGAGGGCUGGAGGAGAGGAGCGCUGGUUGGCUGCCUAGGCACGUCAGUUGCCAUUUUGUCUGCCUAUCAGAUUGCCGGAGGGGCGGGCGUCGAGGGCUGGUACUGCGCAUGCCCCAAACAGGGAGCGCUGAUAGGCGGAGAGAUGCUGAUUGGCGUGCCCCCCCGCAGCCAAUGAUGUUGCCGAAGAGGCGGGCGUUGCGUUGUCCCUACUGCGCAUGCCCCAGUCGCGAGCGCUGAUAGGCGGAGACGGAGGUGAUUGACGUGUCCCGGGGAGCCAACCGGGAUGCGGCAAGGGGCGGGAGCUGCGGUCUCCCCAGUGCGCAUGCCCAAACCGCGAGCGCUGAUAGGUCCGCGGUGUCUCGGUGCCGCGCCGGGGAGCGAACGGGAACGGGGGUCGGGGCGGCUGCGGAGCGCUCGCUGCGGCCGGCGCCCGGGCAUCGGGAGGCGGGCGGCUCAGGGCCGCCCUUCGUGAGGUUUCCCGGAGGCGGCAGAAGGGCGGAGGGGAAGGAGGCGACAGCCGGGGACCUCCCGCCGCGGGCGUGUCCGGGGCGCGGCGGCUGUCGGUGCCCGCGGAGCCCGGCGGGACGGCGGGGGAGCGCGAGGGGAACGGAGCGGCGAAAGAGACGGCAGUGGAUCCGUCUGGCAGUCGGUGGCCCACGGUUGCUCGGCAACAGCAGAAGCGGAUUGAAGGGACCGGCUGCUGGAGGAUGCCGAAGCCUCCCGGGUCAGCGACGGGAGCAGCUUUGCGUAAAGCGAGGGGUACGUGAAGCCGGGCGUGCGGUGCCGACCGCCCAGCAGGUAAGGGAAGCUAAAGCUUUACCUCCAGGGACUUCUGCCCAGAAAGCUGAAGAAAUUGCUCUCGCAUGAGCUGUAGAGUUACGCAAAGAGAAGAAGAUUAGUAGCUGCACUGAUUCUAAGCAGGUUUCUUGAACGGUGCGGGCCCUUGAAGCCAUUUGAAAAGAAUAAAGUGUAUUAACGGCACAAGGGAGGCAGAUUAAACGUGAUGCUCCAGUUGCUGGAAGCUGUGCUAUUGCUAGGAGAGUUGCUGUCACGCGUUGCAACGGGCCUCAGAAGGGAAACGCUGAUCAGGAAACUGGCAAUAAAUUGGCAGGCGCCCCUGUAAAACCAGCCACCGAAAGGACAGAGACCGGUACAGCAGCCGCGUCUCUGAGCCCAGGUGGCCGUGUCCUCCAGCCAACGUCAGGGAACUGUAACAAAGAGGAUAAGCAAUUAAUAGGAGAUUUAUAGCCCGAUCAGAGUUAGGGUCCAAAGGAGCCGUCACCGGCGACGGGAGAGCAGCGGCGCCUCGCGGCGCGAGGAGCUGAAGCGCUCUGUCGAGAUCGGACGAACAGCUUUUGAAGAGAAGCUGCCGAGUUAGCGUACACUGCGGUGAAGUUCUACAAGAUGCAGCCCUCAGGAACCGGUUGCUGUGGGGUUGCUCGUGCGGCCAGCUUUGGUGUCGGUUGUUCCGGCGCUCCGUCGCGGUGUAGAGCCGGCCCCGUACGUAGCGGUGAGGCGUACCGCAGUUCGGUUUGAUUCUCGGAUAGGCCUCGGCUCUGACUGUGCACUCGAACGCCAAAACCUACAGCGGAAGCUGCGGUGGCUUUAGCGUGCAAGGGGCGCGAGCGCCGUGAAGCCGCCCGUGUGGCCGAGCGUCCUGAUCGCGGCGCUGAGCGUUAGACGGACUUGAGCCGCGUGUCAGAAUUGUUUUGUUUUGGAGAGGGCGGGAUAAACUUGGAGCACAACUUGUGAGGGCGGUACGUCGUGGGCAGGUUUUAGUAUUGCCUGUGGAGUGCCGCUAGAAGCGUUCGUAGUUCUUGCUUGUCUCUGUUACAAGAUGAGCCGUGUCGUCCUGCGUGACGCGUAACGGGAGGACGGCGUAGUAGCGGUGCUCUGCAAAAGAGCCUGUUAGGGGGUAUUUUAGCUCGCGGGAAAGGGAUUGGGGAACCACCUGGUGGUAAUGCGAGUAGAGCAGCCCUGGCGGAAUCUGAGGAGCCGAGGCCGUUGUAUAAAUUGGACAAGGAAGGAAAGGCUGCGGGCAAAGCACGGUGCUGCACCCGGCCGCCCCAACGUGGAACUCUAAUGUGGAAUUCCUGUGUUUCAGAGGGGGAGCUGUGACCGCCCCGUGCUCAGCAGACCCCCCAGCCCGGGUGGGGGGAGCAGCGCCGGAGCGGGAGACGCGGCUCCGUCCUCCGUCCCCAGCGUGCCGGGGGGCGGCUGCCGGCCUGUGGGACGUGGCUGCGGCUGUUCGGGGCGCUGCCCCCCAUUUUUGGGCGUUCUGAGCAGCCCCAUGUGCUGUUAAAGGUUGUGGUGGUGCGGGUCAGGGGUCCCCAGGCUGUGCCGAGACCGCAGGACGGCUGCUGGUGGAACAAAGUCAAGGACAACUUCUCAGAGUAAGAACCUCUCUAUUUGUUCUCCUCAGGACACAUCCCUUUGCCUCUGGACCCCUCACAAGCUCACUCGCCACCUUGUUCCCUCAGAAACCCGUUUCCUCCCAGUUCCUCUGCGAUUACCCUGCCUGCCUUUGGGUCCCUGUAGGCUCUUUGGUGGCAUCAUGGUGCCUGUUUGACCUUUUGCCCUGUUAAAUUCCCCUCUUUUCUCUCUUCCCCUCAAAACUUCCCCAGUUGCUCUUGUCACAUCCCAGAGGCCUCAUUUUCCCCUCUUGUCUCCUCUCAGGACCCCCAUCUGUUGGCCCCUGUCGAGGGUUUAGAUUGCGGGGUGACAGUAAAACCCUGGCAGAUGUAUUGUUAACCCCAUCUCCCCCCCACUUCCCCCUUUUGCCCCUCCCUCUCCCCCCUUCCCACUCAGGACAGGCCAUCGGGAGGGAAAGAAGGACAGAGAGAAGAGAGUUGGAAAAACUGGCAAUGUUUUACUAAUGCUAUAUUAAGAGUAGAGAAAAUAAUACAAAACCAAUCCUGAAAGUCUCAGCAACUGCAGAGCCAGCACCUGAAGUCCUGGACUGGACUCUGCAGCCAACCGGAGCUGGAUUCAGUCUCUCAGUAGGCCUCAGUUUGCAGGGACGACUAGCAAGGUCCUCUCCUAAUGUCACCAUAAGCAGAAGGGAUGAAAAGGGGCAAAGAGGACAAGAUCCUCAUGAUCUCCCACUUCUAUAUGAAGUAUUCAUGUGAAUGGGAUGUUAUACACAGUUGGUCAGUUUGUUGGUCACCUGUUUCUUGUUGCUCCUCUUGCAAGAUGUGAAUCUGUCCUUAUCAACAAGUAAGCAUUCCAUUGCAAUGUUUACCAAAACAUGUAUCUGGUUCUCCAGGAAAAUGCAGCUAAUAUGAAGCUUUAGCUGACAGGCAAAUUCACUGAAAGAGAAACUUGUUUUUUAACGAAACCAGGACAGCCCCCACCCCAAUCCCCUCAGGACUCCUCUGAUUCCCAUCUGCUCCUCUCAGGACAGCUGAGCUUGUCUUUUGGGGCCCCUGAGAGCCCCCAUUUACCUUCUUUUACCUACCUUUGUUGUUGUUCCCAGCCUGUCCUGUUUUCCAUCCUUCAGGACUUACUUAUUACUGUUGUGAGAGUCCGAGAGAAAAUGAGGAGUGUCUGUGACUUACAACUGUCGUUGUUGAUCUACAGUCUUUUAGAGACGGAUUCUUGCAGGAUUUAUUUCUGGUUCGUCCUUCACUCCUCCCCAGACCGCAGCGCUGGUCCGAGUUCCCCAGCACACGUGUGUGUGUCCAGCCGGGUACGCCCGGGGGAGCGCGUCAGGGAGGGCAGACGGCUGAAUGGACGCGCUGUCAGCGACUGCGGAACGAGCUGGGGCUGCUUUGACCGUGUCCAGCCUUCUUUCUCCCCCCUCCACCCCUACCCUGCUGCGUUCAGUGCAGUGAAUGACCGUGAGGAGAUGGCUGUGGAUCUGGCUGUUGAAGGGUGUGUGAAGGAGAAGGAGGUGUGUGUAGAGCAGGAUUGGUGGUGGAGGUGAGUGCAGCUGGUUUGGGUGUGGGGCUGUAAAUUCUUUUUGGAGGCUUCCUAGUUUCUGGUGUCACCUGCGGGGUGAAGUGUGACUCUGUGUGCAGGUUUGAAAGGUGCAACGUGCAGAGCUCCCUCAUUUGCCACCAGAUUUCCCAAUCACAGAGACAGCGUCGCUGUGCAGCUGCUAAGGACAGCGCGUCUCGUGCAGAAUAGCAUCCUUUGUGCUCCGUGUGCGUGUUCCUCCUUUGAAAUGAAGUUGGGCCGCCCGGUGUUCCACGUUACGUGUGGUACCUGCUGGGCUGAGUCUCCUCCCCGCGCUCCGGUCGGUUCCGUCGCGCUGCCGCAGCCCCGGCAGCACCGCGGCGUUCGCUGGACGCGUUGUUGGCGGAGCCGGCACCGACAAUCUUGACACGUCGAGGCGCUGCAGUGGGUUUGCCUGGAAAUUCCAAGGUCCUGGUGUUCUAUUAUUUGAACUACUUACUUACUGUAAGACGUUUAGAAUUAAAACUUAAAUAAGAGCAACCAGAAGAGUCUUUGGGAGUGAAUAAUGCCUGUCAUCCACUCUAGCUGUUACUCAAAACUCUGCAGACAGUAAUUAUCCCCAAUUUAUGUAGUAAAAUUUAAAAGAGUGGAAUAUAAAUACUGGAGCGCUAAUUGGAAGUAAUACCUGUAGAGAAAAAAACCUCUAGUUUAUAUCUAUAAUAAAAAAUAAUGUGUGCUAGUUAAUCCGCCUGGUAGUAAUGUAAUGAUAAAAAUGUUAAAGUAAAUAGAUGAAAUUAUAUAGGCAUGAGCAAGAAGUAAAUUUAAUUUCAGCUAUUACUUGGUGAACUAGGCAGCAGUUGUUCCCAAUCUGAAUGCUAGUUUAAAAAACACAUUGUUUGGAAUUCCUUUUAAAUGAUAAAGGCAGAAAACUAAUGUGGAGUCAUUGGUAGCUUCAUUUGAACAACCCUUAUGAAAUAAACUGCAGACACGAAUGACUGCAUAGGAAACAAAGUGAGGAAGCUUUAGAUUUUAAACAGCAUUGGAAAGUGAUCGGGAGUGUUUAGUAUUUAAAUUAUAACAGAGCCAUGAGAUGGGAGGCAACAAAGCUCAGAACCAAACAGAGUCAAAACGUUACAUUUCUUUUUUUAAAGAGAAGUAUAAAGGAACCACUAAGUAGUGGCUGUUUAUAAACAGAGGUAUUAAAAAGUUCCCAUGUAGUAAUGAUUCCCAACAGAACACUAAAAGAUAUUUAGAUGUAAAAUAAUAUUAGAAAUCAGUUAUAACAGUCUGAAUUUAAGCACAGCUUUUUUGGGGUUGUGCAAAAACAUGACCGCUAUUAGUUACCUCUGAGUUAAAAUAAAAAGACAGCAAACUAGAUGUGAUUAACAACAGCUAAUUUUAAUUUUUCAGUGUGCUAUCCAGUUCGGCUUCUCCCUCCAAGGGCGUGGUCUGAGAAAGCCACACCCCCAACUCCCCCGUCCAAGCUCCGCCCCUUCCAGUCUGUGCCCUCCCCGAGGAGCGUGUCCCAUACAGACCCCUCCCCUUUCAUCGCGCCCACCCCCCCCAGCAGCAUGAUGCAUCGAAGCCCCGCCUGCAGCUCCACCCCUAAACUCGGCCCCUGCUAAAUCACGCCCCCUCAGAGCACGUGCUGUACAGAGCCCACCCUACUCUCGGCUCCACCCCUCCCUUCCUAAGCUACGCCCUCUUUGGGCGUGUCCUUCUCCCUACCCCAAGAGGCUCCUCCUCUGGGGGUGUGACACACGGAGGCCCCACCCCCUGCCCAGUUCACCCAGGUGGGCCUCCCAAUGGGCGGGUCCUCCCAGUCCACGCCCCUCAGCACGGAUCCCACCCCCGUGGGUGGGGCUACACCCAGCUGCGCGCGCGGCCCCCCCACCCAUACGUGACCCUAAGUAACCCCAUGGCAGCCCUAUGGCUGCCCCACAGGUACCGCUACAGCAGCCCUGCUCCUGCCCCGCAAGAGCUCCAGACACGCCUCUGCAGAGCCCCCACAGCAGCCACUUCAGUGCCCCACGGCUAUCACCGCAGCCGCCCCAUCCCGCCCCAUGGCCGCCGCUGCGGGACCCCUGGAGCCCCCGGCCCCACAGCCGCCCCGCAGCCCCACAGCGCGCGGUCUCGCGGCCCCGGUGAAGCCACGUGUCGGCCGCGGCCGGAGGAGCCGCCGGUUUCCCGCCCCCACACCCGCCGAUCGCUGCUGCUGCCGCGGCCGGAGGAGCCGCCGGUUUUCCCCCCCACAUCCCCCGAUCGCUGCUGCCGUGGCCGGAGGAGCCGCCGGUUUCCCCCCCACACCCCCCGAUCGCUGCUGCCGCGGCCGGAGGAGCCGCCGGUUUCUCCCCCACAUCCCCCAAUCGCUGCUGUCACGGCCGGAGGAGCCGCCGGUUUCUCCCCCACAUCCCCCGAUCGCUGCUGUCACGGCCGGAGGAGCCGCCGGUUUUCCCCCCCACACCCCCCGAUCGCUGCUGCCGCGGCCGGAGGAGCCGCCGGUUUUCCCCACAACACCCCCCGAUCGCUGCUGCUGCCGCGGCCGGAGGAGCCGCCGGUUUUCCCCCCCACACCCCCCGAUCGCUGCUGCUGCCGCGGCCGGAGGAGCCGCCGGUUUUCCCCCCCACACCCCCCGAUCGCUGCUGCUGCCGCGGCCGGAGGAGCCGCCGGUUUCUCCCCCACAUCCCCCGAUAGCUGCUGUCACGGCCGGAGGAGCCACCGGUUUUCCGCCCAGCGCCGACUCUCCUCCUUCCUCCUCAAUCGCCGCUGCAUGCCGCCACGACGUCUUCUCUUCCGCCAUCUUGUUUCCCCCUUCUGCUCUCAUUCGCUAUUUUAUACCGAGGGAGGGAGGAGACGCUCGCUGAUUGGCUGACAGUGUCAGCCUCGGAAGUCGUCCAUUGGCUCAUCCCCACGAGGGGUUCUCCGAGGGGGUGGGAGAAAGGCGCUGAUUGGUCACCGUGUCGCUGAGGGGAGGAAGGCACUGAUUGGUCACUUUCCGCCGAAGUUCGCCCUCCCAGUAACAGGCGCUGAUUCGCUAGCGCCCCUGAGGUAGAAAAGGCGCUGAUUGGUCGGCGUUUUCCCGCCGACGUUAGCCCACAGCAACGAAGCGCUGAUUGGGCAGCGCGGCUGAAGGGGCGGAUCGUCCAUUGGCAGGAGGGCGGGCGGGGGGCGGGACCGGGCGGGACAACGAGGUGAUAAAUGGGGCGGCGCAGACCGCGCGCAGGACCAGAAAGGCGGAGGCGGCAGCGGCAGCGCGAGCUCAUCGCCCCUUCCCCCCCCCCCCCCGCGCCGCGGGAAACCCGAGAGCGGCAGGAACGGCGGCCGGAAUCAGUUAACGGGGCGGCUCAGGGCGGUAAUUAUCGUGCGGGUGUUAAUUGGGGCUCGGCGGGUUAAUGAGUGACCGGCGGGCUGGGGUGUAUCUGGGGGUUUUGAUCGAAAUUGGGGUUUUAAAGCCACGGGUUUGGGGGGGGGGGGGGCGAUUAAGGCUCCCGGAGUCGCUUUAGCGGCUUAAAUCGUUGUGUUGAACGCGGGAGGAGCCGGUUCGGGGCUUUUCUCAGCAAUGGGGGCUGGUUUGGGUCCAAUUCGGCUUUUAAAAGAUGUUUUUACGUAAUUUUUGGGUGCCGAUUUGUGCCAAAAGGCGCCUUUAAAAUCUGUUUAUUGAGGGUUUAUCAGGAGAAUUAAAGUUUAAAGCUCGGGGAGAUUUGGGGCUUUUCCCUGGGAUUUUGAGUCCAAAUCGGUUUUUUUAGAGCCCAUAUUUAUUUAAAUUAUUAUAUUUAAAGGGUUUAUUUGAGGUUUUAUUUGGAACAUUUUCGGCGGGUUUGAGGCUCCUAAGAUUUAAUUGUUGGUUUAUUAUUUGAUUUAUUAUUUCACUGCGGUGCGGGGCUCCUAAAGACGCUGAGUUGUUUCAAUUAUUUAGCGCUGUGAGGAGCCGUUUUGGGGCCGUUUGCGUCUAAAUCGGCUUUUUAAAAGGUUUAUUUAAUGCGUUUAAAGUUUGAGGGGCCGAUUUGCGACUUUAAAGCUUUUUGAAUCUACUUAUUGAUAAGAAUUUAUACAAUAGAUUAAUAUUUAAAGCCCGGGGGGAGAUUUGGGGCUGUUUCCCAGGAUUGCGAGUCCAAAUGCGUUUUUUUCUGUUAACCGCUUAUUAAUUUAAAUUAUUAUAUUUAAACGGGGCUUUUUGAGGUUUUAUGAGGGUUUUUUUGAGCAUUUUGGGCGGUUCUGAGGCUCCUAAAGCUGGUUAAUUGUUUAAAUUAUUAAUUGUUAAAAUAAUGUAAGUAGUUGUUGAAAUAAGUGUGUAAGUUAUUGUAUUUAAAGCCGGGAGGGGCAUUUCGUUGCUUUUUGGGGGGUUUUAGGGCUGAAUUCACUUUAUUGAACGUGUCUAGAGCUGGGGGUCCCAGAUCUGGUGCUGAUUUGGCCCCAAAAAAAGCUUUAAAAAUCUAUUUAUUUAUAAUUUACUGAAUUAAUAUUUAAGCGGGAACAUGUUCGGCUUUUUUAACCCGCCGCCAUUUUGUCUCCCCCGUCCCGCUCUCCCUCACGCUGAGGGGGCCGAGGAGACGCUCGCUGAUUGGCCGGUGCCGUCUGGCGGGAAAGCCUCCCCCGGCUCAGCCCCGCUCGGCUGUCUCCGAGGGAGAGAAAGGCGCUGAUUGGUCGCAGCCUCUGAGGAGAGAAAGGCGCUGAUUGGUCGCCGCCUCCCUAAACCCACCUCCUGCGCAGAGAACAGCGAAGGCAGCCUGGCCACGCCCCCUCCGGCUGACCGCGCCUGCCCCCCCCCCUCCGGCUGACCGGGCUCACCGCGUGCCCCCCCCAACUCCGGCUGACUGUGCCCCCCCGCCCCCCCCGGCUGACCGCGUGCCCCCCCACUGCACUCCUGCUGACUGUGCGCCCCCCCCACCUCCUCCGGCUGGCCACAUCUCCACUGCACACCAUGGCGGGGAUGGGGCGGGGGGGGAUCACAAGGGUCUAUGGGGCGGUGUGGGGGUCAGGGCGGCUGUGGGGUCAAUGGGGUUGUUGUGGGGUGAAACACCCCUGAAGAGGCUGAACACCCUGCAGGUGAGUGACCCACACAGUGCCCCACAGUGCCCCAUAGCACCUCCACUCUGCCCUAUGGAUCCACAACACUGCCCCACAGCACCCUAUAGCUCCUGCUUGCUAUCCCACAGCACCCCAUGGCUUCUCCACUCUGCCCCAUAUGUCUACAGCAGUGCCACAGAGUACCUCAGAUGUCUUCCACUCUGCCCCAUGGGUGCAGAGUGCUGCCCUACAGCACCCUAUAGCUCCUCUACUCUGCCCCACAGAUCCACAGUGCUGUCCCACAGCACCCUAUAGCUCAUCUGGCCUAUAGACCCACUGUACUGCCCCACAAUGCCCGAUAGCUCCUACACUCUGCCCCAUAGACCCACAACACUGCCUCACAACACCCCAUUGCUCCUGCACUCUGCCCCAUGGAUGCCCAGUACUGCCCCACAGCACCAUAUAGCUCCUGUACUCUGCCCCAUACAUCCACAGGAGUGCCCCACAGCACCCCAUAGUGACUCUACUCUUCCCCAUAGACCCACAGUGCUGCCCCACAGGACUCUACUCUGCCCCUUAGACCCAGAGAGCUGCCCCACAGCAGCCUGUAGGUGCUGCGUUCUGCCCCAUUGGUGCAAAGUGCUGCCCCACAGCGCCCCACACCUCUGUCCACCUGACCACCCUUCCCUCCUGACUGCGCCUGCACUGCCCACUAUGGGUGGGUCACAAGGGUCUAUGGGGUGGUGUGGGGGUCAGGGGGGCUGUGGGGUCAAUGGGGUGGUUGUGGUGUGAAACACCCCUGAAGAGGCUGAGCCCCCUACAGGUGAGUGACCCACACAGUGACCCACAGCAGCCCAUAGCCCCUCUGCCCUAUAGAGUCACUGCACCCCAUAGCUGCUUUUACUCUGCCACAUAAAUGGACAGCACUGCUCCACAGCACCCUGUAUCUCCACUCUGCCCCGUAGACACACAGUGCUGUCCCACAGCACCCCAUAUCUUGUUCACUCUGCCCUAUAGACCCACAGUGUAACCCCACAGCACCCCAUAGUUCCUCUGCCCUAUAGAUCAACAGCACUGUCCCAGAAAACACCAUAGCUUCUUCCCACUAGCCCAUAGGCCAGCAAUUCUGCCCUACAGCACACUAGCUCCUGCACCCUGCCCCAUAGACCCACAGCAGUGCCCCACAGUGCCCCACACAGCUGGUCUGCCCUAUACAUCCACAGCACUGCUCUGCAGCACCAUAUACUUCCAGCACUCUGCCCCAGUGAUGUGUAGCACCCCACAACUUCUGCAUUCCACCCAUAGAUCGACGUUCCUGGGUCCCCUCACCCCACCAGCUGUCCUGGGUUGCAAUGCUGCACGGGGCCCUGUGCACAACAAAAUGAGGACAGCAUGGCUGCUGGGCGCCACCCUGCUUGGAAUCCAAGAUGGCUGGGGGGGGAGGGCUGGCAGCCAUGCUGGCACUGCCGGAGGGGCUGUUGGUCUGCGCCGUGCUCAGGCGGCAGCUCCCGGCUGUAUCGGCUGCUCCUGUGGCCCUGCCCCCUGCCCAUGGGAACAAGGUGGCUGCCCUGAUGGGCGUGGCCAUCUCGGCUGCUGUGUCCCUGCUGGUGGGCGGGGCUAUGGCUGUCAUGGCUGCCAAGCCUGUGCUGGAAGGGUGGGGCUGAGGUGGGUGGGGCCUGCCUAGGGUGGCCAUAUUGGGGUGGGGCCCAAGGUGGGUGGUGGGGCCUGUGGCUCCGUUUACCCCUGACGGCCAUCUUGGAAAAAGGGCAGCGCUGUGCCGCUGCCAUCCUGACGUUGCUCCCCCAGGGCCAUGUUGGGGGACUUUUAACCUGGUUUUGGGGCCAAUUCUCACCCAAUAAAAUUAAAUAAU